GGGUCAGUAGUUUGGUCGUGCCAACGGUAUGUACUGGGCUCACUGAUUCCUCCUUCCUGAUGAACUGUAAUGCCAUUAAUUUGGUGUUGCAGGGAAACUGGACUGUUACUUUGAAAAAAUUAGAGUGUUUAAAGCAAGCUAACGCUUGAAUACAUUAGCAUGGAAUAAUGAAAUAGGACGUUCGAUCCUAUUUUGUUGGUUUCUAGGAUUGACGUA
Molecule: ribosomal RNA, 216 nt
Filed under: Glomeromycotina sp. MIB 8366
Lineage: Eukaryota; Fungi; Glomeromycota
Description: partial small subunit ribosomal RNA
Rfam family: Eukaryotic small subunit ribosomal RNA (bases 40-216)
Source: RNAcentral